UACGAAGGACCCAAGCGUUAUCCGGAUUUAUUGGGUUUAAAGGGUGCGUAGGCGGGUUGUUAAGUCAGUGGUGAAAGCUCCGAGCCUAACUCGGAAACUGCCAUUGAUACUGACGAUCUUGAGUACAUUUGAGGUGGGCGGAAUGUGUCAUGUAGCGGUGAAAUGCUUAGAUAUGACACAGAACACCGAUUGCGAAGGCAGCUCACUAAACUGUAACUGACGCUGAGGCACGAAAGCGUGGGGAGCAAACAGGAUUAGAUACCCUGGUAGUCCACGCCCUAAACGAUGAUCACUCGAUGUGUGCGAUACACUGUACGCGUCCGAGCGAAAGCAUUAAGUGAUCCACCUGGGGAGUACGGCCGCAAGGCUGAA
Molecule: ribosomal RNA, 372 nt
Filed under: uncultured bacterium
Lineage: Bacteria
Description: bacterial SSU rRNA
Rfam family: Bacterial small subunit ribosomal RNA
Source: RNAcentral